RNAcentral lists this transfer RNA (76 nucleotides) under Chloroflexota bacterium. Its description in RNAcentral is "Chloroflexi bacterium tRNA-Arg". It matches the Rfam family "tRNA". From Rfam's summary of the family: Transfer RNA (tRNA) molecules are approximately 80 nucleotides in length. Lineage: Bacteria; Bacillati; Chloroflexota. The record is from RNAcentral.
GCGCCCGUAGUUCAGGGGAUAGAACAUCAACCUUCUAAGUUGACUGUCGCAGGUUCGAGUCCUGCCGGGCGCGCCU